GAUGAAGAACGCAGCGAAAUGCGAUAAGUAAUGUGAAUUGCAGAAUUCAGUGAAUCAUCGAAUCUUUGAACGCACAUUGCGCCCCUUGGUAUUCCGAGGGGCAUGCCUGUUCGAGCGUCAUUAUAACCCCUCAAGCUCAGCUUGGUGUUGGGGCCUCUGCACUGGCAGCCCUUAAAAUCAGUGGCGGCGCCAUCUGGCUCUAAGCGUAGUAAUUCUUCUCGCUAUGGAGUCCUGGUGGAUGCUUGCCAUCAACCCCCAAUUGUUCUAUGGUUGACCUCGGAUCAGGUAGGGAUACCCGCUGAACUUAAGCAUAUCAAUAAGCGGAGGA
This 328-nucleotide unclassified non-coding RNA is filed under the name soil metagenome. Its description in RNAcentral is "partial contains 5.8S ribosomal RNA, internal transcribed spacer 2, and large subunit ribosomal RNA". The stretch from base 1 to 120 matches the Rfam family "5.8S ribosomal RNA", at positions 35 to 154 of the family's 154-position model. The record is from RNAcentral.